Molecule: ribosomal RNA, 465 nt
Filed under: Vreelandella stevensii
Lineage: Bacteria; Pseudomonadati; Pseudomonadota; Gammaproteobacteria; Oceanospirillales; Halomonadaceae
Description: partial 16S ribosomal RNA
Rfam family: Bacterial small subunit ribosomal RNA
Source: RNAcentral
CCUACGGGGGGCAGCAGUGGGGAAUAUUGGACAAUGGGCGAAAGCCUGAUCCAGCCAUGCCGCGUGUGUGAAGAAGGCCUUCGGGUUGUAAAGCACUUUCAGUGGGGAAGAAAGCCUUGGGGCUAAUACCCGCGAGGAAGGACAUCACCCACAGAAGAAGCACCGGCUAACUCCGUGCCAGCAGCCGCGGUAAUACGGAGGGUGCGAGCGUUAAUCGGAAUUACUGGGCGUAAAGCGCGCGUAGGCGGUCUGAUAAGCCGGUUGUGAAAGCCCCGGGCUCAACCUGGGAACGGCAUCCGGAACUGUCAGGCUAGAGUGCAGGAGAGGAAGGUAGAAUUCCCGGUGUAGCGGUGAAAUGCGUAGAGAUCGGGAGGAAUACCAGUGGCGAAGGCGGCCUUCUGGACUGACACUGACGCUGAGGUGCGAAAGCGUGGGUAGCAAACAGGAUUAGAUACCCGAGUAGUC